UGCCAGCCGCCGCGGUAAUACGGGAGUGGCAAGCGUUAUCCGGAAUUGUUGGGUUUAAAGGGCCCGCAGGCUGUUUGCUAAGUCAGGGGUGAAAUCCUACCGCUCAACGGUAGAACUGCCUUUGGUACUGGCAAACUUGAGUUAUUGUGAAGUAGUUAGAAUGUGUAGUGUAGCGGUGAAAUGCAUAGAUAUUACACAGAAUACCAAUUGCGAAGGCAGAUUACUAACAAUUAACUGACGCUGAGGGACGAAAGCGUGGGUAGCGAACAGGAUUAGAUA
Molecule: ribosomal RNA, 279 nt
Filed under: uncultured bacterium
Lineage: Bacteria
Description: partial 16S ribosomal RNA
Rfam family: Bacterial small subunit ribosomal RNA
Source: RNAcentral